Molecule: ribosomal RNA, 451 nt
Filed under: uncultured bacterium
Lineage: Bacteria
Description: partial 16S ribosomal RNA
Rfam family: Bacterial small subunit ribosomal RNA
Source: RNAcentral
AGCGAACGCUGGCGGCAGGCUUAACACAUGCAAGUCGAGCGGGCCCUUUCGGGGGUCAGCGGCAGACGGGUGAGUAACACGUGGGAACGUGCCCUUCGGUUCGGAAUAACUCAGGGAAACUUGAGCUAAUACCGGAUACGCCCUUAUGGGGAAAGGUUUACCGCCGAAGGAUCGGCCCGCGUCUGAUUAGCUAGUUGGUGGGAUAACGGCCUACCAAGGCGACGAUCAGUAGCUGGUCUGAGAGGAUGAUCAGCCACACUGGGACUGAGACACGGCCCAGACUCCUACGGGAGGCAGCAGUGGGGAAUAUUGGACAAUGGGCGCAAGCCUGAUCCAGCCAUGCCGCGUGAGUGAUGAAGGCCUUAGGGUUGUAAAGCUCUUUUGUCCGGGACGAUAAUGACGGUACCGGAAGAAUAAGCCCCGGCUAACUUCGUGCCAGCCGCCGCUAACA